Molecule: long non-coding RNA, 1367 nt
Organism: Carassius gibelio (silver crucian carp)
Lineage: Eukaryota; Metazoa; Chordata; Actinopteri; Cypriniformes; Cyprinidae
Exons: 3
Source: RefSeq, a predicted model, not a curated record
AUGUAUUUAAAAUGAAUUAAAAGAGUUAAAAAUAGAAAAUGAUUAUACAUAUAAUAUACAGUGCAAUCAUUUCAGACUUUCAGGUGAGUUUUGAGUCUGCAUUUAUAUGUGGCUAAUAUAUUAAUAAAUCUGAUCUCUGCUGCAAGUAACACAAUACAAACUUACAGAUUUUUAUGGUUCCAAAAGUCUCCAAAAAUUAGUAUUUUGCAUGUUUUAAGUGCACACAAAGGACUUUUUUUUUUCAACCUGGUCAUAUGAUGGCUAAAGUUGAGUAAACAUGUUACUCACAUGUCCUUUCUGUAUUUUUUCUAGAAAGGAUUUUUAUUUCAGUGAAGGAGGGAGAUCCUGUCAAUCUUCAAUUUGACACUGAAAUACAGGGAGAUGAUCUGAUCCUGUGGAUGUUUGGACCUAAAAGCACUUGUAUAGCUGAAAUCAACAAAACAGUCAAUACCCCCUCAUUACAUGAAGAUGUUCUUGAUGGGAUAUUCAGAGGCAGACUGAAACUGGAUCAUCAGACUGGAUUUCUGACAAUCACAGACACCAGAAUUGAACAUACAGGACUUUAUACAGUAAAGUUCACCAGCAGCAGAGGGUCAAAAUACAUAAGAUUCAUAGUAACUCUCAGUAAAAAGGCUCUGACUAAUCUUGAAAAAGCACUGAUUGGUAUUCUUCUUCUGGUGCUGGUGGUUAUUGCAGGCUUUCUGAUUUACAAGUGUAGAAAACCAAGGCAAAAUCGUGCUACUGCUGGUGAACAGAAUGGAUCGGCAAAAGAAUCGGGUGAAGCAGGAGUCUUAUAAUAGUUUAUAUUUAGCUCAAUAAUACAAACAAGAAGAAUGUUUAAGAUCCACUCAUGUGUGCUUCUGAAAUGUGCUUCUGAAACUAUUAAGUUACGGCUUUCAUUUGAUUUGUCAGAAAUAUUCAAAUGUGCUUUUAUUCAUUUUGAAGUUGAUGUAAGAGUUCACACCGUUUGCACUGAUGUUGAUAAUAUUGUGUUCUUGUAUUAAGAUUAUUUACAGAAGAACAUCAGUCAAAUGGUCUCUUAAUGUAUAUUUGCCUUUUUUAUUUUAUUUUUUUAAUACUCAUAGUCUUACUGUUGCGGUACACUUUCUUUAUUUUUCUUUUUUUGGGGGGCUCUGUAACCUGGUAAGAUAUGAAUGUGAUAGCUUGAAUGUGGUUUGGAUUUAGAGUGACUGUUUUCAUGAGGAUUGCCAUCCUACAUUUAGCUCAAUUUAAACUUUGUGUCACUCUGAUACUGAUGCUGUUACUUACUGAAUAUUACAUUCAUUCAGAUGUAGCAAAUUAUUUAUUAUUAUUUUUUUAAUUUUGCAUGUGGAUGAGUAUUGAGAAAAUAAACUUGUUUUGCCAUU